This 443-nucleotide ribosomal RNA is filed under the name uncultured bacterium. Its description in RNAcentral is "partial 16S ribosomal RNA". It matches the Rfam family "Bacterial small subunit ribosomal RNA", at positions 338 to 795 of the family's 1533-position model. The record is from RNAcentral.
CCUACGGGAGGCAGCAGUGGGGAAUAUUGGACAAUGGGGGGAACCCUGACGCAGCGACGCCGCGUGAGUGAAGAAGUAUUUCGGUAUGUAAAGCUCUAUCAGCAGGGAAGAAAGAAAUGACGGUACCUGACUAAGAAGCCCAGGCUAACUACGUGCCAGCAGCCGCGUUAAUACGUAGGGGGCAAGCGUUAUCCGGAUGUACUGGGUGUAAAGGGAGCGUAGACGGUUACGCAAGUCUGGAGUGAAAGGCGGGGGCGCAACCCCCGGACUGCUUUGGAAACUGUAUAACUGGAGUGCAGUAGAGGUAAGUGGAAUUCCUAGUGUAGCGGUGAAAUGCGUAGAUAUUAGGAGGAACACCAGUGGCGAAGGCGGCUUACUGGACUGUAACUGACGUUGAGGCUCGAAAGCGUGGGGAGCAAACAGGAUUAGAUACCCUAGUAGUC